This 379-nucleotide long non-coding RNA is filed under the name Setaria viridis. RNAcentral describes it as "long non-coding RNA (SVIR_LNC000558)". Lineage: Eukaryota; Viridiplantae; Streptophyta; Magnoliopsida; Poales; Poaceae. The record is from RNAcentral.
AAAGUUAGGGAGAGAUAGAAAGGGUGAGUGACGGGAAUAAAAUAUGGAGUAGUUGGUAUAGAAUAUGAGAUAGAGAUAACAUAUGUGCGGGAGAAAUGAGUAUAGAGUAGAGAAUUUCGAUAAUUAGGAUAGAAUAUUUCUUUUAAGAGAUGGAAAUAGAUGUCGACGAGUGUGGAUAGCCUUGGGCCGGCAUUGCCGCCGCGGUGGCCCUAGUUGCAUUUGCGUGCACUUGAUCAUUGGUGAUCUCCCUGGAGAUCACUGUUGAGAAGUUUAGGUAUGUCCGACCAAGAGAGAGAAAGAGAAGGAAUGGAUCGGUCGAUGGAAAGCUGAAAGCAUGCAUGCGCUGGUUUAAUUUCGGUGUGGCCCAGCGCUGCAUGCG